Molecule: unclassified non-coding RNA, 659 nt
Filed under: Hevea brasiliensis (rubber tree)
Lineage: Eukaryota; Viridiplantae; Streptophyta; Magnoliopsida; Malpighiales; Euphorbiaceae
Source: RNAcentral
AGUAUCUGAUUGUAAAUUUACAGUGGGAAAGCACUAAGGUUUGCAUUCGCUAAUACUGUAUCCUCUCUUCAUUGUUGAAGUGCAGGCUCUCAAUCCCCCGAAGAGUUGAUUCAAAUGUCUUUAUAUUUGAGGAGUUUCUACCAGAUGAUGGAAGCUUCUGCUCUGACGAUACAAUAGGCGAACCUCUUUGACCACCAGAAAUUUUGACUGCAGGGCUCAUAUCUGUUAUGCGAGAGCGAGUUGGAUCAGACUCAUUCCCAACAAGUGCUGCAUCACGACUGCUAGAAAUGGCAGGUCUCCUUGAUGAUCCACUAGUCGGUGGAAAAUUUGAGAUGGAUAAUGUAGCGUCUUUGGAUAAGGGUAGAUCAUUUGCAAUAGGACCUUUCUGUUUAGAUAAAUUUACAGAACUUGUAAUUGGUCCAGAGUGUCUCCUUCGGGAGGGAUCUGUUGAAGACCAACCAGGUCGACCAUCUUCCCCACCUGGUUGCCUGUCAACAUUAGCACCAGUAGGGGGCACGCCAGAGCUUGGUCCAGCACCAGGGCCAAGUGCACGAGUAGGAGGAUUAGCAAUCUGGGAUUGCUGAUAUUUCAAAAUUGUCCAAUCAAAGACAUAGUCAAACUGGAAACCUUCACGAAUAAAAAGAUCACGGAAAAGCCUU